CCUACGGGAGGCAGCAGUCGAGAAUCUUUCACAAUGGGGGAAACCCUGAUGCUGCGACGCCGCGUGGGGGAAUGAAGGUCUUCGGAUUGUAAACCCCUGUCAUGUGGGAGCAAAUUAAAAAGAUAGUACCACAAGAGGAAGAGACGGCUAACUCUGUGCCAGCAGCCGCGGUAAUACAGAGGUCUCAAGCGUUGUUCGGAAUCACUGGGCGUAAAGCGUGCGUAGGCUGUUUCGUAAGUCGUGUGUGAAAGGCGCGGGCUCAACCCGCGGACGGCACAUGAUACUGCGAGACUAGAGUACUGGAGGGGGAACCGGAAUUCUCGGUGUAGCAGUGAAAUGCGUAGAUAUCGAGAGGAACACUCGUGGCGAAGGCGGGUUCCUGGACAUUAACUGACGCUGAGGCACGAAGGCCAGGGGAGCGAAAGGGAUUAGAUACCCCAGUAGUC
RNAcentral lists this ribosomal RNA (446 nucleotides) under uncultured bacterium. RNAcentral's name for it is "partial 16S ribosomal RNA". It matches the Rfam family "Bacterial small subunit ribosomal RNA", at positions 338 to 795 of the family's 1533-position model. The record is from RNAcentral.